Molecule: long non-coding RNA, 508 nt
Organism: Apodemus sylvaticus (European woodmouse)
Lineage: Eukaryota; Metazoa; Chordata; Mammalia; Rodentia; Muridae
Exons: 3
Source: RefSeq, a predicted model, not a curated record
UUGCAGGGUGAGUUUAGACAUAUUUUCUCAGGACAGAUUAUAGCUAUGAAACAUAGCUAGUUUUCCUCCUCCCUCUUCUCUCUUCCCUUCUCCCUCUUUCUUUCUCAUCUUCCUAUUCCUCCUUCUCCUCUUCUCCAUCUCUUCUUCCUCUUCCUUCUAAAAGAGCUUUUGUCUCAUCUUCAAGCCAAACUUUACCAACACACACUGUGACAGACUCCAGCAUGGCCUGGUUUGAUGUCCUUGUGGCUACCUUUUCUAAGAGGCCAACUAAAGUGAAGAUCUGGAUAGUACACCAACCCUCACAGCUGAACAGAUAAAAGCUGCCUGCAAUGGUUGAGGAGGAUCUUAUCUGUGCGCUAGAAGAAACUACAGCCUCAACAUGUAAUGAUUUAUUUGGCUGUUAUGAUCCAUAUUCAUCUUUACAAAUCUGUAUGAAGCACUUACAAUGUGCCCUGUGUGCACCACGUUCUGAAGACAAUGGAGACCAUGACACAGUGAAAGAAUUCUA